This 497-nucleotide ribosomal RNA is filed under the name uncultured bacterium. RNAcentral describes it as "partial 16S ribosomal RNA". It matches the Rfam family "Bacterial small subunit ribosomal RNA", at positions 28 to 507 of the family's 1533-position model. The record is from RNAcentral.
GAUGAACGCUGGCGGCGUGCCUAAUACAUGCAAGUCGAGCGAACAGACGAGGAGCUUGCUCCUCUGACGUUAGCGGCGGACGGGUGAGUAACACGUGGAUAACCUACCUAUAAGACUGGGAUAACUUCGGGAAACCGGAGCUAAUACCGGAUAAUAUAUUGAACCGCAUGGUUCAAUAGUGAAAGACGGUUUUGCUGUCACUUAUAGAUGGAUCCGCGCCGCAUUAGCUAGUUGGUAAGGUAACGGCUUACCAAGGCGACGAUGCGUAGCCGACCUGAGAGGGUGAUCGGCCACACUGGAACUGAGACACGGUCAAGACUACUACGGGAGGCAGCAGUAGGGAAUCUUCCGCAAUGGGCGAAAGCCUGACGGAGCAACGCCGCGUGAGUGAUGAAGGUCUUCGGAUCGUAAAACUCUGUUAUUAGGGAAGAACAAAUGUGUAAGUAACUAUGCACGGCUUGACGGUACCUAAUCAGAAAGCCACGGCUAACUACGUG